RNAcentral lists this ribosomal RNA (301 nucleotides) under uncultured bacterium. RNAcentral's name for it is "partial 16S ribosomal RNA". It matches the Rfam family "Bacterial small subunit ribosomal RNA", at positions 509 to 807 of the family's 1533-position model. The record is from RNAcentral.
CAGCCGCCGCGGGAAAACGGAGGAUCCAAGCGUUAUCCGGAUUUAUUGGGUUUAAAGGGUGCGUAGGUGGCCUGUUAAGUCAGGGGUGAAAGACGGUAGCUCAACUAUCGCAGUGCCCUUGAUACUGAUGGGCUUGAAUGAACUAGAGGUAGGCGGAAUGUGACAAGUAGCGGUGAAAUGCAUAGAUAUGUCACAGAACACCGAUUGCGAAGGCAGCUUACUAUGGUUUUAUUGACACUGAGGCACGAAAGCGUGGGGAUCAAACAGGAUUAGAUACCCGGGUAGUCCCUGUCUCUUAUAC